UUCAGGGUAGCUUAAACUUAAAGCUUUGAUUUUGUAAUUCAAGGAUGAGAUUUCUUUAAUUUCUCCCCUGAAG
RNAcentral lists this transfer RNA (73 nucleotides) under Siphonaria gigas (giant false limpet). RNAcentral's name for it is "tRNA-Thr". The record is from RNAcentral. Lineage: Eukaryota; Metazoa; Mollusca; Gastropoda; Siphonariida; Siphonariidae.